AUUUUGGGCAAUGGGGGAAACCCUGAUCCAGCCAUCCCGCGUGUAUGAUGAAGGCCUNNNGGCUGNACAGUACUUUUGGCAGANACGNAACGGUACCUCCUAAUACGAGGUACUGCUGACGGUAUCUGCAGAAUAAGCACCGGCUAACUACUUGCCAGCAACCGCGGUAAUACGUAGGGUGCAAGCGUUAAUCGGAAUUACUGGGCGUAAAGCGUGUGUAGGAGGUUCGGAAAGAAAGAUGUGAAAUCCCAGGGCUCAACCUUGGAACUGCAUUUUUAACUGCCGAGCUAGUGUAUGUCAGAGGGGGGUAGAAUUCCACGUGUAGCAGUGAAAUGCGUAGAUAUGUGGAGGAAUACCGAUGGCGAAGGCAGCCCCCUGGGAUAAUACUGACGCUCAGACACGAAAGCGUGGGGAGCAAACAG
Molecule: ribosomal RNA, 422 nt
Filed under: uncultured bacterium
Lineage: Bacteria
Description: partial 16S ribosomal RNA
Rfam family: Bacterial small subunit ribosomal RNA
Source: RNAcentral